GAUCAUGGCUCAGGACGAACGCUGGCGGCGCACCUAACACAUGCAAGUCGAACGAGCGAGAGAGAGCUUGCUUUCUCAAGCGAGUGGCGAACGGGUGAGUAACGCGUGAGGAACCUGCCUCAAAGAGGGGGACAACAGUUGGAAACGACUGCUAAUACCGCAUAAGCCCACGGGUCGGCAUCGACCAGAGGGAAAAGGAGCAAUCCGCUUUGAGAUGGCCUCGCGUCCGAUUAG
Molecule: ribosomal RNA, 234 nt
Filed under: uncultured bacterium
Lineage: Bacteria
Description: partial 16S ribosomal RNA
Rfam family: Bacterial small subunit ribosomal RNA
Source: RNAcentral